Molecule: long non-coding RNA, 270 nt
Filed under: Elaeis guineensis (African oil palm)
Lineage: Eukaryota; Viridiplantae; Streptophyta; Magnoliopsida; Arecales; Arecaceae
Description: long non-coding RNA (EGUI_LNC033924)
Source: RNAcentral
AUAGCAUUUUAUCCAAGUUAUUGAACAUGUUGGUAAUAGCAAAAGAUACUUUGAAGAGUUCAAAGGGUAUAGUUCUGGCUGUGGAGCGGGCUUCUUCUAAAAGAAAGUCUUCUUUCAAGAAGAAGAAGAAGAAGCCUGCGAAAAAGCAAAAAAAUGAGGCCAAGCCCAAGAAGUAGGUUCUGAAGAAGGCCAAUGAUAAGAAAAAGUAUUUCUAUUGCAACAUCGAAGGCCAAUAGAAGAGGAACUGUCUGGCCUACCAGAUGACUGUCA